AGUUCAGAUUGCAGGCUGCAACUCGCCUGCAUGAAGUUGGAAUUGCUAGUAAUCGCGAACCAGAAUGUCGCGGUGAAUACGUUCCCGGGCCUUGUACACACCGCCCGUCACACCAUGAGAGUCGAUAACACCCGAAGCCUGUGAGCUAACCGCAAGGGGGCAGCAGUCGAAGGUGGGGUUGAUGAUUGGGGUGAAGUCGUAACAAGGUAAC
This 211-nucleotide ribosomal RNA is filed under the name uncultured bacterium. RNAcentral describes it as "partial 16S ribosomal RNA". It matches the Rfam family "Bacterial small subunit ribosomal RNA", at positions 1290 to 1500 of the family's 1533-position model. The record is from RNAcentral.